GGCGAUAUGGCCGAGCGGUCUAAGGCGCCAGAAUCAGGAUCUUGUCCUAUCUGGUCCUCACGGGCGUGGGUUCGAAUCCCACUGUCGUCA
This 90-nucleotide transfer RNA is filed under the name Cubamyces lactineus. RNAcentral describes it as "Leiotrametes lactinea tRNA-Leu". It matches the Rfam family "tRNA". From Rfam's summary of the family: Transfer RNA (tRNA) molecules are approximately 80 nucleotides in length. RNAcentral also lists the same sequence under 1 other name. Lineage: Eukaryota; Fungi; Basidiomycota; Agaricomycetes; Polyporales; Polyporaceae. The record is from RNAcentral.